Molecule: transfer RNA, 74 nt
Filed under: Candidatus Undinarchaeales archaeon
Lineage: Archaea; Nanobdellati; Candidatus Undinarchaeota; Candidatus Undinarchaeia; Candidatus Undinarchaeales
Description: tRNA-Gly
Rfam family: tRNA
About the family: Transfer RNA (tRNA) molecules are approximately 80 nucleotides in length.
Source: RNAcentral
GCGCCGGUAGUCUAGCUGGCCUAGGACAUCUGCCUGCCACGCAGAUAACUCGGGUUCAAAUCCCGACCGGCGCA